UCUUCCAGGAUGUCCUCGACACUCAGGACGUUUACUCAAAGCACAGCUGCUUGGUUUUUCCUCUUUCAUUUCAAAACAACUUUUGAAUGGAAAACUCUCACAGCUGCUGCGUCAGAGAGUUUCAGACCACAACAUUUCAGAUUUGUCACCUAAUCGACAGUCAAAAUGUUCUGAAACGCUGGAGGCCUAAGCUGAGAAGCUGUUAUGUUCAGGGUCAUGGAGGACGGACUGCUGGUCAGGACCAACCUGUCAGAGCUUCAUUGGCUGUGGCUUCUAUGUUCUUCAUCCCCAUCUGUUGCUCUGCAUGAGCUUAACCAAAGCGCUCGGUUUGCCUAAACCAAACCACAGACGGGAUGCAAACUCUGGAUUGUGAUGUGCCAUCCACCUCCACCGACUCCAGCACGAUUUAUCGUUCACGAGCUGCUGUGAUGGCGUGUCGCUUCGACGUGACGAGAGGUCAGCAGCACAGGUGACAUUCGGAGGAUUGGAUUAGUUUUUGUGGAUCUGCCUCUCACACAUGAAGCUGUUGAAACAACUUCUCUUUCUUUGCUGUAAUGGAUCUACGGAGGAGCUGAGUGCCCUUUACGAAACCUUCCUUUACACUCAGAUAAUCCCCCUCCAAACAGCUGCUAUAUUAAAUGUUUUCCCUCCGAAUGCCUGGGAGUAAUUUUGGAUUAUCCCACUUUAACUUGUGCACUGAACUCUUGUAGCUUUUAAAAUGUAGCCACAAACUUGUGGCCCACUUCAGCUCCUCGGUGUGAUGAAGCAUGUCAGACAUUAGUGUUCACUGAUUAGCUCGGUGCUUGAGUCCUGACCUAAUUGUCUGAAGUGGAACUCUUGAAUUGCAGACCUUUUGACUGUAAUCCACAACGUUGCACUGGGAUUUUUUUAUUGAUCCAAAGCAAACAUGAGUAUUUGAUUGAAAGUUCCAGUCAGCUAUCAUUUCUCAGUAUUACCACACAGGAUCAAAUAACAAUUUUAACUUCAGAGCCCUUCAACUGUUGAAGAACCGACACCGUACCUUCCCUGUAGGAACGUUUAUUUUUAUGUUUCUCUCAGUUUCUAAUCUUUCAGCUCACUUGAACCAGAAGACAUAAUUACAGUCUGUAUCUUCACCUUUUUAAAAUAUCUUGAAUGAAUUUCCAGCGAUAUGACUGGCCUGGCUCUUUGUUUAAGGUUGUUUUCCUGCUCCUUCAGUCUGUUAUUUCUUGGAUGGAACUGAAACGAGAUGAGGCAGGAUUGUUUUUAAGUUUCCAGUUAUGACUUUCCCUAAAUGGCUUUGUGGUGGAGAGGCAGAUAAAUGCUGUGGUUCCAUCCUUAUGUCUGUUAAAUGUAAGGGUACAUUGUGCACUCAUGAACAGUAAACAGGACCCCAUCUGAAGGCAGCAGGGAUUUGGA
Molecule: long non-coding RNA, 1398 nt
Organism: Scatophagus argus
Lineage: Eukaryota; Metazoa; Chordata; Actinopteri; Scatophagidae
Exons: 3
Source: RefSeq, a predicted model, not a curated record